This 500-nucleotide ribosomal RNA is filed under the name uncultured bacterium. Its description in RNAcentral is "bacterial SSU rRNA". It matches the Rfam family "Bacterial small subunit ribosomal RNA", at positions 28 to 524 of the family's 1533-position model. The record is from RNAcentral.
GUUGAACGCUGGCGGCAUGCUUAACACAUGCGAGUCGAACGCGAACGGGCUUCGGCCCAAGUAGAGUGGCGGACGGGUGAGUAAUGCGUGGGAAUCUACCCUCGAGCGGGGGACAACCCGGGGAAACCCGGGCUAAUACCGCAUACGUCCUACGGGAGAAAGCGGGCCUCUACACUAUGCUCGCACUCGAGGAUGAGCCCACGUCCGAUUAGCUAGUUGGUAGGGUAACGGCCUACCAAGGCCACGAUCGGUAGCUGGUCUGAGAGGAUGAUCAGCCACACUGGGACUGAGACACGGCCCAGACUCCUACGGGAGGCAGCAGUGGGGAAUAUUGGACAAUGGGCGCAAGCCUGAUCCAGCAAUGCCGCGUGUGUGAAGAAGGCCUGCGGGUUGUAAAGCACUUUCAGUGGGGAAGAACGGAUACGGGCCAAUACCCCGCAUCACUGACGUUACCCACAGAAGAAGCACCGGCUAAACUCCGUGCCAGCAGCCGCGGUAAU